This 62-nucleotide transfer RNA is filed under the name Spilopyra sumptuosa. RNAcentral describes it as "tRNA-His". The record is from RNAcentral. Lineage: Eukaryota; Metazoa; Arthropoda; Insecta; Coleoptera; Chrysomelidae.
ACUUAAAUAGUUUAAUAAAAACAUUGAUUUGUGGAAUCAAAAUUAAGUAGGUUUUUUAAGUA